AGCUUGCUCCCCCUGAUCAGUGGCGAACGGGUGAGUAACACGUGAGUAACCUGCCCCAGACUCUGGGAUAACAUCGGGAAACCGGUGCUAAUACCGGAUAUGAGACGAGACUGCAUGGUCAUCGUCUGGAAAGAUUUAUCGGUCUGGGAUGGACUCGCGGCCUAUCAGCUAGUUGGUGAGGUAAUGGCUCACCAAGGCGACGACGGGUAGCCGGCCUGAGAGGGCGACCGGCCACACUGGAACUGAGACACGGUCCAGACUCCUACGGGAGGCAGCAGUGGGGAAUAUUGCACAAUGGGCGCAAGCCUGAUGCAGCAACGCCGCGUGGGGGAUGAAGGCCUUCGGGUUGUAAACCCCUUUUAGCAGGGAAGAAGCGAAAGUGACGGUACCUGCAGAAAAAGCGCCGGCUAACUACGUGCCAGCAGCCGCGGUAAUACGUAGGGCGCAAGCGUUGUCCGGAAUUAUUGGGCGUAAAGAGCUCGUAGGCGGUUUGUCGCGUCUGCUGUGAAAGUCCGAGGCUCAACCUCGGAUCUGCAGUGGGUACGGGCAGACUAGAGUGUGGUAGGGGAGACUGGAAUUCCUGGUGUAGCGGUGGAAUGCGCAGAUAUCAGGAGGAACACCAAUGGCGAAGGCAGGUCUCUGGGCCAUAACUGACGCUGAGGAGCGAAAGCGUGGGGAGCGAACAGGAUUAGAUACCCUGGUAGUCCACGCCGUANACGGUGGGCACUAGAUGUGGGGCUCUUUCCAUGAGUUCCGCNUCGCAGCUAACGCAUUAAGUGCCCCGCCUGGGGAGUACGGCCGCAAGGCUAAAACUCA
Molecule: ribosomal RNA, 816 nt
Filed under: uncultured bacterium
Lineage: Bacteria
Description: bacterial SSU rRNA
Rfam family: Bacterial small subunit ribosomal RNA
Source: RNAcentral